This 594-nucleotide long non-coding RNA is filed under the name Phascolarctos cinereus (koala). RNAcentral's name for it is "lncRNA (ENSPCIG00000029594.2)". Lineage: Eukaryota; Metazoa; Chordata; Mammalia; Diprotodontia; Phascolarctidae. The record is from RNAcentral.
AGAAAAACUUUGAUUAAACAUUCUCUUUUUUCCCAUUUUCCACCAGGUCUUUGCUUUGUAGGAAAGAUGGGCAGCGAUCUGUCACAUAGGUUGACUUUGAGAUAAGCAUUGCCGGUGGAUUCUGAGAACAAAAGCAUUCUGCUGUUUUCUAUCAAUUAUUGCGAACUCUCAAAAGGUUUUUAUUUCUUCUGUAUUUUGAAUGUUUUACAUCCGAUGUAGCUUGGAGAUGGUGAAUAUUCAAUAAGAAAACAUAUUGUUAUCUAAUGGUGUUUUCCUCAUCUAUGAAGCAGGUCAUACCAAGAGAACAACAGACAGAGGAAAUGAAAAAGGAGAGGAAUCGUUGACAUUUCAACAUUCUGUAUAAUCUUUGAAGAUCAAAUUAGAAGCUUAAUGUACUGUACCACGUGAGUACCUGGCAGCUUAGGAUAGCGGAAAGAACAUUAGGAAGGAAAGGAGGAAGGGAGUAAGUGUUGCCAUACUACCUGUUAUGUGCCAGACACUGUGCUAAGGAGAGUGAUGAGACCUGGUAUGUAGAACCAGCUUUGUUCUUAACUCAUCAUGUGAUGGUAUACCAAUUAGCUAUCUUCUCUGGGA